UGGCCCACAGGCUGUCGGGGUGGGACCGAGGCUCGGAGAGGGGAGCACACUGCCGGGGAGGGGCAGUGGCCGGGCUGGAUUUCCUCCUCCCCUGGGGCCGCGGCAGGCUGGGCCCGUGCAGGGAAAGCCACGUGGUGAGGCAGCCUGAUGCCCCCGUCCUCAGCGGGCUUGUGCUGCGUCAGGCCAGGAGUCGGGCAGGCAGGGUCUUUAUCAGGAAGACCCACCACCCUAUUUUCCAAUAAGCUGAAUUAUUCUGGGAGUUGGAAAUGCCAACCGGUUCUACCGAGGCCUGAACCGCUGACAGGCCCUGAAGCCUCCUAUCGGUCUGAUGGAGCUAUUAGAACAAGUCAGGGGGCCAGGACCCCGCGGCAGAAGGCGGCUGGCUCGCUAACCAGACCCGCAGCAGCCGGAAUCGCUGAGCAGAAGCCAAAGGUCACCAGCGUUGUGUUUGGAAGGAGAGAGACGGGCAUUUCAAAGUUAAAGCCAAAAAACGUAGCUGAGUUCUGCUUUUUCCCCAUGAAUUCAUCUUAACCAAAGAGAAAACAACAUUAAAGGUCUUACAGAAAAAGAA
Equus caballus (horse) is the source of this 571-nucleotide long non-coding RNA. RefSeq lists it as uncharacterized. NCBI's taxonomy places the organism in Eukaryota, Metazoa, Chordata, Mammalia, Perissodactyla, Equidae. The record is from RefSeq and is a predicted model, not a curated record.